This 469-nucleotide ribosomal RNA is filed under the name uncultured bacterium. RNAcentral describes it as "bacterial SSU rRNA". It matches the Rfam family "Bacterial small subunit ribosomal RNA", at positions 29 to 507 of the family's 1533-position model. The record is from RNAcentral.
AGUGAACGCUGGCGGCGCGCUUAACACAUGCAAGUCGAACGAGAACGGGAUAUAUUGCUAUAUUUGUCAGCUAAGUGGCGCACGGGUGAGUAAUGUAUAGAUAACCUCGCCCUCUAGAAAGGAAUAACAGUUGGAAACGACUGCUAAUGCCCUAUAUGCCUUUAAUACAUAAGUAUGGCAAGGGAAACGCUUUAGUGCUAGAGGAUGGGUCUGUAUGGUAUCAGUUAGUUGGUGAGGUAAUGGCUCACCAAGACUAUGACGCCUAACUGGUUUGAGAGGAUGAUCAGUCACACUGGAACUGAGACACGGUCCAGACUCCUACGGGAGGCAGCAGUGGGGAAUAUUGCACAAUGGACGAAAGUCUGAUGCAGCAACGCCGCGUGGAGGAUGACACAUUUCGGUGCGUAAACUCCUUUUAUAUAGGAAGAUAAUGACGGUACUAUAUGAAUAAGCACCGGCUAACUCCGUG